RNAcentral lists this ribosomal RNA (696 nucleotides) under Haemaphysalis hystricis. Its description in RNAcentral is "12S ribosomal RNA". Lineage: Eukaryota; Metazoa; Arthropoda; Arachnida; Ixodida; Ixodidae. The record is from RNAcentral.
UAAUUAAAUUUGGUUAAUUAGAAAAAUCAGCUCUAAAUUCUUUAUAAUUUAAACUAGAAUUUCAUUAAAUUAGAAGAUAAAAUUUAUUUAAUAAUUAAUUAUUAUUGAGAUUUAGAAAAAUCUCUAGUUAAUUUUGUGCCAGCAACAGCGGUUAUACAAAAAGAGAAUUUUUUUUUUUUAAAAAUUUAAUUUUUAUAUCUAAAUUUUUUUUUAAAAAAUGAGGUGAAAUUUUUUUUUUAAAUUUUAAAUUUAUUAAAAAUAAAAACUCUAGAAUAAACUAGGAUUAGAUACCCUAUUAUUAAGAAUAAUAUAUUGUUAGUAUAUAAACUUUAUGAAAACAAAAAAUUAUGGCGGUAUUUUAAGCUUUUCAGAGGAAUUUGCUCUUUUAUGGAUAAAACACCUAAAUCUUACUAAAUUUGGUUAAGCAGUUUGUAUACCACUAUUUAAGCAAUAAUUUAUUAUUAUUACUAAAAUUUAUUAAAAAUAAAAAAAGUUAAGUCAAGGUGCAGCAUAAAAUUUAGUAUGAAGUGAAUUACAUCUCUUUAAAGAGAAAUAUUUUGAAAAUGAAAUUUAGGAUUUGAAAGUAAAGUUUUAAUAGAAAGAAAAUUUGAAUUUAGCUCUAAAAUAUGUACAUAUCGCCCGUCGCUCUUUUAUGAAGAUAAGUCGUAACAAAGUUAAAGUACUGGAAAGUGCUUU